This 465-nucleotide ribosomal RNA is filed under the name uncultured bacterium. RNAcentral's name for it is "partial 16S ribosomal RNA". It matches the Rfam family "Bacterial small subunit ribosomal RNA", at positions 338 to 795 of the family's 1533-position model. The record is from RNAcentral.
CCUACGGGAGGCAGCAGUAGGGAAUCUUCCACAAUGGGCGAAAGCCUGAUGGAGCAACGCCGCGUGGGUGAAGAAGGUCUUCGGAUCGUAAAACCCUGUUGUUAGAGAAGAAAGUGCGUGAGAGUAACUGUUCACGUUUCGACGGUAUCUAACCAGAAAGCCACGGCUAACUACGUGCCAGCAGCCGCGGUAAUACGGAGGUGGCAAGCGUUAUCCGGAGUUAUUGGGCGUAAAGGGAACGCAGGCGGGCUUUUAAGUCUGAUGUGAAAGCCUUCGGCUUAACCGGAGUAGUGCAUUGGAAACUGGGAGGCUUGAGUGCGGAGGAGGAGAGUGGAACUCCAUGUGUAGCGGUGAAAUGCGUAGAUAUAUGGAAGAACACCGGUGGCGAAAGCGGCUCUCUGGUCUGUAACUGACGCUGAGGUUCGAAAGCGUGGGUAGCAAACAGGAUUAGAUACCCUGGUAGUC